Molecule: long non-coding RNA, 3323 nt
Organism: Mustela erminea (ermine)
Lineage: Eukaryota; Metazoa; Chordata; Mammalia; Carnivora; Mustelidae
Exons: 3
Source: RefSeq, a predicted model, not a curated record
GCUUAACUGACUGAGCCAUCCAGGCACUCCAGCAAACACAGUUUAAAAAAUGUAUAUGGACACUUCUAGAAAUAGAUAGUGGAUUAAAGCUUCCUCAUAGAAUUUCUCUUUCUCAAUCCCUAACAAAAGACAGUAGACAAAACCACAGGGGAAAUUUACUAUCAGUAACCAAUACAAUAAACUUCAAAUUUGACAUCCAGAGAAAGAUACAAAAGAUGACAUGGAGUGGCAUAGAACAUUUCUGCUCUCUCCCCUGUCCUGAACCCCUAGAAAUGAACAUAAUCCUGAACAUUCUCCCUAGUGCUCCUGAAUCUGGAAGGAAACAGAUGUGAGUCAUGCCCUCAUAUUCUUCCUCUUCUGAAUGAACCAUAUUAAAAAGUGUGCUGGGGAGAAAUAGGGGAAGCAGAGAGCAUGACCCAUGGAGCUGACUCAGUUGAUGGAAAGAAAACCCCUUAGAACAACACUCCAAUUUGAGAAAUUGACACAAACCUGAGUUUCCCCUUUCCUUACAAAAAGUAUGUAAGAUCCCCCUCUCGGUCCCCAAUCAAAUGACCUGAGCCUUGUGCAGGACGUUAACCAGAACCUCAGGACAGUCGCACACGCACGCAUUCCCACAAGGGCUGCCCUCUGCUUCAACUGAGCUUUCCUCUUUCCCCUCCUCCACUUCUGACUACGAAAAAGUGUACAAAAUCCAAACACUCUGCCUCUCACUUAGCUCAGAGGGAAAAACAGACUGAUCUCAAAGAGUGAGGACAUAGUCAAUGAGUUCUUCUCUCCUGCCAUCAUGUUACAGCAGCAGAAGGUAAGUCUGGAUGGAGCCACCAAAUCAGAUGAAAAGAAAUGGAGGCAAACACAUGGCAGCUCAUAAUUAAUAAGUAGAGGGAAAACAGUAAGCAAAAGGCAAAGGUUCCUCAACACCCCCAUCACCCCACCCUGCCCCGACCAAAGGAAAUUGCUUUCAAUUGCUUCACAGAGAAAACAAUAAGAACAUGAAUUUAAUAACUGAAGGCUCAAAGAUAGGGUGAUAAAAUGAGAAUUGAUAGCAAGGAAACAAAUUGAGGACAAAAACAGCAUCAUGUUAGAACAGAUAACUUAGAACGAACAAGAGAGGCAACUAACCACACCGAAACUUACAUUACUGAAUUGAGGCAGCUAAACAGAGGUAAAGAGAUUUAAGAAACUGGAAUUAAUAGAAAUGGAGUACAUACAAAGAUGAUCCAGUAUAAGGAUUUGUUGGUAUCCUUGAAGGAGGAAAAUAAAACAACAACAACAACAACAACAACAACAAAAACAGAGCCAAAGGAGAGUGUCUAAUGCAGAAAAAAUGUAAAUUGCAGAUUGAAAGACCCAUUAUUUCCAGAAAAGCUUGAUUCAGAAUGUUUAAUACUAAGACAUGUCUUAGUUAAACUGUUUAACUAAAAAAAAGUGAUGGAAAGUGACUCCUUUAGGCAUAUAAGCAGGAAAAAGAGGUCAUCUACAAGGAGGAAAAAUCAGACUUGUCUCAGAUUUCUUCCAGAGAAAAAAGUGCAACACCUACCAUAUUCUAUGCGAAAGAAGGGGAGACCUGAGAACAUUACCAUCAGCCAAAAUCUGGUUCCAAUGUAAAGGCAACAGGCACACAUUCUUAAACAUCCAAAAUCCUUCUUGAUGAAAUAAGGUAACGAUGAAACUCAGUCCACGAAGAGAUAAAUUGAAAUAAAGAGCUUGCAAAUGGAGAAGCCUUGAUAAAAAGCUUGGAAUUAAUUUAAAUCUAGAUUCUAUACCAAGUAACUAUGCAAUUAUGUUUUGGUUUUUUUAUUUUUAUUUUUUUUUGCAAUUAUGUUUUUACAGAACAGAUACAUUUCUCAUAAACCUGGAGGAUGUAAUGACUACAAUAUAAGUAAGGGAGAUGGAAAAAUGGAAAGAAUCAUAAGAGAUGAUUCUAAGAUGCCUUUGCAUGCCGACAUGUGAAAUUGUUAUUUUUUUAAAAAAUGACUGAAUAUCUUAAUGUUUUUCACCAUUUUUGUUUACCCUCAGAGGUACCCUUCAACGAGUAAUGUCUCUUGUGGUCAAGAAACAUUACUUGAAGGUUCACUCUUCCUUCAGUUUCAAGUAGAAUUAAAUGUAAUACUUUGAAUUCAAAUAGCAUCUGUAGUAUGGUCCAGUUCUUAUGAAGAAGCUCUGUGACCUUCCCUCCUAUCUUUAUGCACAGAAAGUUUUCUGGGAUGAUGUGAUGUUAUGGUUAUUUCUAUGGUCGAUUCUGAAAGGUCGUAUACAGCUGAUUAUUUUCUUGCUUGUCACUUUUUAAUAUUCUAAUUUUCUGAUACAUCUAUGAAUACAAAAAUUUUAAAUAUUAGAAACAAAAUGUUCUCUGGCUCCUCACUGAAAGAAAAAAAAACAAACUUGGCAGAGGGAUGCUAUUUCCCAGUGUCUACUCUCUUCACAUUUUAUAGACUUUUUAGCAUAUACUUGAUGACCAGUAUACAGACCCUGUUUCCCAACUGGGGUUCUGGCUUAUAGGAUAUAGGCAUACAUACCAUGCUGCAGCUUUCGGCUCAUUGGAGAGUACCUGCUCAUUUUCUCUUUAUCACUUUCAUUCCUUCCUGCUGUCUGGAAUGCAGAUAUCACUAUAUGGGACCAUGAGGUAAAGACCUUGCAAAGCAAAGGGACACAGAAGAUAACUACUAUAUAGCAUAUGAAACACCAUGAUAGAGAGGAACAAAGUGAAUACAUUGAGUCCAAAAGGACCAGUGGAGCCAGUUCACUUCAGUGACAAGCUACCGUUUGUCUAGAAGAGAAGAGAAAACCAUUUCAGGGGCCCAGAUUCCAUUAGGACGUCUCCCCCAAAUCCCUGGAGCAAGCAGGGUGAUGACAACUUGCAAUCUGGUGCCUUGGCCGUGGAGGUGAAAUAAGCAUCCUGCGCAUUCCUUGCGCAAGAAGUCAAUUCGCAGGAGCUGAAGGCUGGUCUCUUCCCGGGAAGGCCGCCGGGCCGGACUCGCGGGUCCCGCCCCGGGUCCCGCCCUGGCUCCGAUGGGAGCAUCAGGUGGGGGCCAGGGCAAGGGCACACGAGGCUCAGGCGGCCUCUCCUGUCCCCGAUGGGCAGCAAGUAGCCCGUCGACACUCUGUCCAGUGGUCCCAGCGCAUUUGCAGGCUCGGACGGGGUGGAGGCGCCUUGGCGGGGAACCCCUAGGCGCUCGUAGUGCCCCAUUCUCUUCGCCAUGGAAGCGGCUUCCUAGCGCGCGGAGCCCUGUCACGACCAUCCGGGCUUGGCCCCAGCUUCCCAGAGAGGCGCGCACUGGCCCUUGGCCCCCCAGGCACUGCCCUCCCGGCCCCCCAACUCGCGG